UGAACCUUUACUAUAGCUUGACACUGAACAUUGAGCCUUGAUGUGUAGGAUAGGUGGGAGGCUUUGAAGUGUGGACGCCAGUCUGCAUGGAGCCGACCUUGAAAUACCACCCUUUAAUGUUUGAUGUUCUAACGUGGACCCGUGAUCCGGGUUGCGGACAGUGUCUGGUGGGUAGUUUGACUGGGGCGGUCUCCUCCUAAAGAGUAACGGAGGAGCACGAAGGUUGGCUAAUCCUGGUCGGACAUCAGGAGGUUAGUGCAAUGGCAUAAGCCAGCUUGACUGCGAGCGUGACGGCGCGAGCAGGUGCGAAAGCAGGUCAUAGUGAUCCGGUGGUUCUGAAUGGAAGGGCCAUCGCUCAACGGAUAAAAGGUACUCCGGGGAUAACAGGCUGAUACCGCCCAAGAGUUCAUAUCGACGGCGGUGUUUGGCACCUCGAUGUCGGCUCAUCACAUCCUGGGGCUGAAGUAGGUCCCAAGGGUAUGGCUGUUCGCCAUUUAAAGUGGUACGCGAGCUGGGUUUAGAACGUCGUGAGACAGUUCGGUCCCUAUCUGCCGUGGGCGCUGGAGAACUGAGGGGGGCUGCUCCUAGUACGAGAGGACCGGAGUGGACGCAUCACUGGUGUUCGGGUUGUCAUGCCAAUGGCACUGCCCGGUAGCUAAAUGCGGAAGAGAUAAGUGCUGAAAGCAUCUAAGCACGAAACUUGCCCCGA
RNAcentral lists this ribosomal RNA (709 nucleotides) under Salmonella enterica subsp. enterica serovar Infantis. RNAcentral describes it as "partial 23S ribosomal RNA". It matches the Rfam family "Bacterial large subunit ribosomal RNA", at positions 2094 to 2802 of the family's 2925-position model. The record is from RNAcentral. Lineage: Bacteria; Pseudomonadati; Pseudomonadota; Gammaproteobacteria; Enterobacterales; Enterobacteriaceae. RNAcentral also lists the same sequence under 1 other name.